GUGUGGAGCAGCCUGGAGGUGGUUUUUGGAGAAGAGAGAGCUCUCUUCUGAGGAAGAAGUAUUACCCGGUUGCAGUAACUGUUGAGAAGUGAUUGUCUGGAAGUCCACAUGUCGGUGAAGCCAUGGAGGGCGGGGAAGGAACCCAUCCGAUUGAUGUGAAUGGUGGAGUGUCACUCAUUGGACCAGCUGCCCCUGAAAAAAUUCUCAGCCAACACUUCCAAACCUCUCUCCUCGCCCAGCCACCCCUACGAGAUUGGGAGGGAUGCGGUUUACACCGGAACCUUUGGCGCUUAUUAUGAAGACAUCAAAAAAUAUUUUAUCUGUGGGCAGUGAAAUGAAGUAAGAAACGAGGCUGUUUGUAGGAAAGCAUCAGCCAUUAAAUGAUCAAACCUGGAAUCAGAGCGCCCGGCUCUGGCAUCAUUAGCUUCAUGGCCUCAGACCCUCUCUGAGUCUCAGCCCUCGCCUGUAAAGGGCUGCCAGGGCAUUUAAAUAACUUGCUUGAAACAGCUGGGAUAGCGUCUAGUUCUCGAAGUGUGGUCCCCAAACCAGCAGCAUCAGCAGCAUCUGAGAACUUGUUAGAAACGCACCUUUCCAGCCCCACCUCACCUGCUGAAUCAGAGCGGGCAGGGAGGAAGCGACAGCAAUCUGUUUUUAUAAGCCCUCCAGGAUCUCCUUGGAGAAGACAAGACACGCAGUGCCCUGUGCCCAUGCAGGGGACUACACUUCAUCUACCACUGGCCCCCAGCCCUGCUUGCACAGUUAUGACGGAAGCCCUCAUUGCUCCUGGAAUACUUCCUGGAGACUCAGACAAGAAGGGUCACUCCCCCGGGUGCUGUGCUAUGGAGGGACCAGCAAAUCAGAAACACAAAAAAUUGUUGAAGGACACGCGGUGACUCUGUUCAGCAGGACGUGGUGCUCAGCACUGAAUAGUCAACCCAGAACCCCAGACGUCCACUCUCAUGACUGACAGUGUUCAAGCCCCAGGGAAACGCUUCCCCGAAUCUCUUCUGCACACCUCUUCCCUAGAUCCCCAAACAAAAGGCAACUCCCCGAGAGCUACUAAACUUGGGGCUUGUGUCAUUACUCAUGUAUGAGAAAAACACAACUUCCUUCACAUUGCCGAGGAAUUUCAGUGGGCAAGGGUUAAGGAAAGACAUAUGAAGAAGCUUGCUAUUCUGGGCUGAGUUGUGUCUUCCCAAAAUUCCUAUGUUGAAGACUAGUGCUUCAGAAUGUGACUGUAUUUGGAGACAAAGUCUUUAAAGAGGUAAUUAAGUUAAAAUGAGGUCACUGGUGGGCCCUAAUCCAGUACAAUCGGUGUCCCUAGAAGAAGAAAAGAUGAGGACACAGAUACACACAGAGGGAAGACUGUGAAGACAUGGGGAGAAGAUGGUUGUCCACGAGCAAGGAGAG
Molecule: long non-coding RNA, 1410 nt
Filed under: Equus caballus (horse)
Lineage: Eukaryota; Metazoa; Chordata; Mammalia; Perissodactyla; Equidae
Description: lncRNA (ENSECAG00000053607.1)
Source: RNAcentral